ACUACUACUUACGUUUAUGCAAAAAUGGCUUCUCCAAAGAUGUUGGUUUUCUUGUUGAUGGUCGCGACGCUUUUGUGCCACGAAGUAAACGGCGAGCACAUGGGGCAGCUUGCAGACAAGGAGGAAAUGAUCGAUUUUGAUGCGAGUGGGGCACGACUUCACCACGUAAAAAUCGACGAUGAUGCCGACAUUCUAGCUUCCGACAGGGAUAUACUAGGAUAAUAGACUCCGAGUAUAUCACAUGGAAACUUAUGUUGAAAAUAUUAUAAUAACAUAAGCACACUUUUGGGUUUUUUAUUUUAAAAUAAAUAUUUAUAAUAA
Molecule: long non-coding RNA, 321 nt
Organism: Cylas formicarius (sweet potato weevil)
Lineage: Eukaryota; Metazoa; Arthropoda; Insecta; Coleoptera; Brentidae
Exons: 3
Source: RefSeq, a predicted model, not a curated record